GCCUGCGCCGUCCUCCUUCAGCCGGCGGCCGGGGGCCCCCUCUCUCCCAGCUCUCAGUGUCUCAUCUCCCUAUCUGCUCAUCCUCUGGUCGCACAUAAUCGAUGUUUGGGCGUCCCAAGCCAGAUGUGGACCCCAUUUCCGCACUCUACACUGGAGGUUUUCUAAGGGUGGUGCCCGGACCAGCAGCUUCAGCCUCAUCUGGGAACUUGAGAAAAUGCAGAUUCUCCGUCCCACCCAGCCUAUUCGGUUUUUCCUGCACUAAAACCAUGAAGGUGGGGCCCAGCAGUCCACAUUCUCGCAAGCCCGUCAAGUGAUUCUGAGGCGCCCUCCAGUUUGAGAGCUAUGCUCACGGCCUCACCUCCGCCCCGCAAGGAGCCCGGUCUUGCCUGUGGCGCUAGCCGCACACGGACACCUCAUCCUGCGGGGCCCGCCCCCCCGCUGCACCCUCACCGCCCAACGCCUCCUCCGGGAUGCAGCGGAGGCGCCUGGAAGUCGGCAAGGUCAACAUCCCCCUCAGCAUCUUCCCUACCCUCACGGCUCCUCCUCCAGGGGUGCCUCAUGGCCAGGGGUUAGAAAGAGCCACUGUGUUUCUUGACAUGGAAGUGGCCUAAGACCUUAAUGAAAACUGCAGGAGUGGAAUGACAGAACCUUUGGUCAUACUUGAGGGCGUGAAGCUCAAAUGAGGAGGAAGGAAAGGAUCCAGGGAGAAUAACCAACCCUGGCAAGUUGUGGCGCCCAGGUAGAGGGGCGAGCCUAGGCUAGCGGUUCUCGACCAGGGCCGGUGUUGCCCCUCCUCGCCGCCCCGCGUACAUUUGGGGAGGUCUGGAGACAUUUUUGGUUGUCAUGAUGCGGGAGUUGCUACUGUUGCCUAAGUGGGUAGACACGAGGGUGCUCCUCAACAUCCUACCUGAAGGACAGGACUGCCCCACAAGGAAGAAUGAUCCGGCCCCAAAUAAGAAACCCUGGGCUGGUCAGCAACAACCCCUUUGUUCUGAGAAGAGAGGAGGAAAGAAUAAAAGAAGUGGGGUGAAGUUUUGGUUUGGUAGAGGAAACUUGAAGACAUUUUCACUGGAAAGGAAGAGAGGAAGAGGAGGGAGAUGUCUGUAAGGACGAGCAAACCGGGUGACAGCUGAUUUCCUCAUAUUGAAGUAAUGAGUCCUAGUUAUAAUAAAUUCCUAAUAAAAACCCAGUUUAUCCCUGCAAUAAA
Molecule: long non-coding RNA, 1207 nt
Filed under: Homo sapiens (human)
Lineage: Eukaryota; Metazoa; Chordata; Mammalia; Primates; Hominidae
Description: non-protein coding lnc-AKAP10-1:3
Source: RNAcentral